UACGGAAGGCAGCAGUGGGGAAUAUUGCACAAUGGGCGCAAGCCUGAUGCAGCCAUGCCGCGUGUAUGAAAAAGGCCUUCGGGUUGUAAAGUACUUUCAGUCGUGAGGAAGGUGUUAAGGUUAAUAACCUUAGCAAUUGACGUUAGCGACAGAAGAAGCACCGGCUAACUCCGUGCCAGCAGCCGCGGUAAUACGGAGGGUGCGAGCGUUAAUCGGAAUUACUGGGCGUAAAGGGUCACGCAGGCGGUUAAUUAAGUUGGAUGUGAAAUCCCCGGGCUUAACCUGGGAAUGGCAUUCAAGACUGGUUAGCUAGAGUCUUGUAGAGGGGGUUAGAAUUCCGAUGUGUAGCGGUGAAAUGCGUAGAGAUGUGGAGGAAUACCGGUGGCGAAGGCGGCCCCUGGACAAAGACUGACGCUCAUGUGCGAAAGCGUGGGGAGCGAAACAGGGAUUAGAUACCCGUCUGGAGGAACUAACCAAGGGCACGGACAAGGGGAAUAAGG
RNAcentral lists this ribosomal RNA (500 nucleotides) under uncultured bacterium. RNAcentral describes it as "bacterial SSU rRNA". It matches the Rfam family "Bacterial small subunit ribosomal RNA", at positions 340 to 835 of the family's 1533-position model. The record is from RNAcentral.